RNAcentral lists this long non-coding RNA (448 nucleotides) under Hordeum vulgare. RNAcentral's name for it is "long non-coding RNA (HVUL_LNC000851)". The record is from RNAcentral. Lineage: Eukaryota; Viridiplantae; Streptophyta; Magnoliopsida; Poales; Poaceae.
GAGCAAAUAGAACUACAAUAAAAUAAAAUGAAGUCAAACAAGGCAUGAAAUCACGAAUCAUCAGCUCCUUGAUUUGUUCCAAGAAACUGAACGCAAAAGAUAAUAGCAAAAGCAGGCAUCAAAACUGAAUCAAGUCUACGUCAUCCAUAACUUGGAAAGCAUAGCACACACAUCUUAUGAAUCAAGACACUGCAACAUCUCUAUUCAGCUGCAGCUGCAACCUCAACCCAUGAAAUCACGAAUCAUCAGCUCCUUGAUUUGCUCCAAGAAACUGAACGCAAAAGAUAAUAGCAAAAGCAGGCAUCAAAACUGAAUCAAGUCUACGUCGUCCAUAACUUGGAAAGCAUAGCACACACAUCUUAUGAAUCAAGACACUGAACAUCUCUAUUCAGCUGGAGCUGCAACCUCAACCCCUGCCUCAUCUGCCUCAGCUGGCCUCUCCAACUUC